This 775-nucleotide ribosomal RNA is filed under the name uncultured Neocallimastigales. RNAcentral describes it as "partial large subunit ribosomal RNA". It matches the Rfam family "Eukaryotic large subunit ribosomal RNA", at positions 23 to 635 of the family's 3401-position model. The record is from RNAcentral. Lineage: Eukaryota; Fungi; Neocallimastigomycota; Neocallimastigomycetes; Neocallimastigales.
AGAGAGAGACAUGCGCGCAUAUCAAUAAGCGGAGGAAAAGAAACUAACUAGGAUUCCCUCAGUAACGGCGAGUGAAGCGGGAAGAGCUCAAAUUUGAAAUCUUCAAGGUUCUACCUUGACGAAUUGUAGUUUAAAGAAGUGUUUUCUGUUGGAGUUUUGGUAAAAGUUCUUUGGAAUAGGACAUCAUAGAGGGUGAGAAUCCCGUAUUUGACCAUUAUUUCCAGCUUUGUGAUACACUUUCAAAGAGUCGGAUUGUUUGGGAAUGCAGUCCAAAAUGGGUGGUAAAUUUCAUCUAAAGCUAAAUAUUGGCGAGAGACCGAUAGCGAACAAGUACCGUGAGGGAAAGAUGAAAAGAACUUUGAAAAGAGAGUUAAACAGUACGUGAAAUUGUCAAAAGGGAAGGCGUUUGACACCAGUGUUGUUUUCUCGAAAAUCAAUUAAAAAAGGCAGGAUUUUGUGUUGUAUUGACUUUAUCAGCUUUCUGCACUCUUUUCUUGUCUUUUUUAAUGCACUUUUCGUUUAACAAGUCAACAUCAAUUUCUUUUGUUGUAAAAGGGUCAUUGGAAGGUGGCUUUCUUUUCGGAGAAAGUGUUUAUAGCCUUUGGCCUCUGCAAUCGGAGAGAUUGAGGUCUGCAGCGUAGAUCCUUCGGGGUUAGAUACAUUUGUGCUAAGUUAUAGCCUUUCAUAGACAACUUGUUGACUAUGAUCAGUCAUGUAGCUUACUCGCUUAUGCUAUUUUACCUACGCUUAGGAUGUUGAUGUGAUACUGCGAGCA